RNAcentral lists this ribosomal RNA (408 nucleotides) under uncultured bacterium. Its description in RNAcentral is "partial 16S ribosomal RNA". It matches the Rfam family "Bacterial small subunit ribosomal RNA", at positions 28 to 526 of the family's 1533-position model. The record is from RNAcentral.
GACGAACGCUGGCGGCGUGCUUAACACAUGCAAGUCGAACGCAGUGGCGAACGGGUGAGUAACGCGUAAUCAACCUGCCCUUCAGAGGGGGACAACAGUUGGACACGACUGCUACUACCGCAUACUGAAGGAGGGGAUUGCGUCGGAUUAGCUAGUUGGAGGGGUAACGGCCCACCAAGGCGAUGAUCCGUAGCCGGUCUGAGAGGAUGAACGGCCACAUUGGGACUGAGACACGGACCAGAUUCCUACGGGAGGCAGCAGUGGGGAAGUGUCCGCAAUUGACGAAAGUCUGACGGAGCAACGCCGCGUGAGUGAGGACGGCCUUCGGGUUGUAAAGCUCUGUUAAUCGGGACGCGGUACCGGAAUAGAAAGCCACGGCUAACUACGUGCCAGCAGCCGCGGUAAUUC